UACCAGCACCCCGAGUGGUCGGGACGUUUAUUGGGCCUAAAGCAUCCGUAGCCGGUUCUACAAGUCUUCCGUUAAAUCCACCUGCUUAACAGAUGGGCUGCGGAGGAUACUAUAGAGCUAGGAGGCGAGAGAGGCAAGCGGUACUUAGUGGGUAGGGGUAAAAUCCGUUGAUCCAUUGAAGACCACCAGUGGCGAAGGCGGCUUGCCAGAACGCACUCGACGGUGAGGGAUGAAAGCUGGGGGAGCAAACCGG
Molecule: ribosomal RNA, 253 nt
Filed under: uncultured bacterium
Lineage: Bacteria
Description: partial 16S ribosomal RNA
Rfam family: Archaeal small subunit ribosomal RNA
Source: RNAcentral